AUUAUUUUUUGUAAAAAAAAAUCUGUUCUUAUCAGUUUAAUAUCUGAUACGUCCCCCCAUCGGGGGACUAACAUAUUAAAUGGAUUUUGUCGAACAGGGAGUCGGAAAUGGGGCUUGCUCCGUCCGCUCCACGCAUCGACCCGGUAUUGCAGUACCUCCGGGAACGGUGCAACACUU
This 177-nucleotide small nuclear RNA is filed under the name Oncorhynchus tshawytscha (Chinook salmon). RNAcentral describes it as "U2 spliceosomal RNA". It matches the Rfam family "U2 spliceosomal RNA". Rfam says of the family: U2 is a small nuclear RNA (snRNA) component of the spliceosome (involved in pre-mRNA splicing). Complementary binding between U2 snRNA (in an area lying towards the 5' end but 3' to hairpin I) and the branchpoint sequence (BPS) of the intron results the bulging out of an unpaired adenosine, on the BPS, which initiates a nucleophilic attack at the intronic 5' splice site, thus starting the first of two transesterification reactions that mediate splicing. The record is from Rfam by way of RNAcentral. Lineage: Eukaryota; Metazoa; Chordata; Actinopteri; Salmoniformes; Salmonidae.